RNAcentral lists this non-coding RNA (24 nucleotides) under Arabidopsis thaliana (thale cress). Lineage: Eukaryota; Viridiplantae; Streptophyta; Magnoliopsida; Brassicales; Brassicaceae. The record is from RNAcentral.
CGACGAAGUCCCGAGGAAGCAGCA